AUGGCCGCCGCGGGUCAAAGUGUGGUAUCUGUUCUUAUCAGCUUAAUAUCUGAUACGAGUUGUAUUUGCACCCCAUAUUUAAACUUAUUUUUGCUAGUUGGCGGAGUGCUUGAAGCGUGCUUCAUCUCUGCCGCGGGUCGGCCCGGUAUUGCACUAUCGUUUGGAGUAUUGGUCCACGGACA
Molecule: small nuclear RNA, 182 nt
Filed under: Dermacentor silvarum
Lineage: Eukaryota; Metazoa; Arthropoda; Arachnida; Ixodida; Ixodidae
Description: U2 spliceosomal RNA
Rfam family: U2 spliceosomal RNA
About the family: U2 is a small nuclear RNA (snRNA) component of the spliceosome (involved in pre-mRNA splicing). Complementary binding between U2 snRNA (in an area lying towards the 5' end but 3' to hairpin I) and the branchpoint sequence (BPS) of the intron results the bulging out of an unpaired adenosine, on the BPS, which initiates a nucleophilic attack at the intronic 5' splice site, thus starting the first of two transesterification reactions that mediate splicing.
Source: RNAcentral